UGACCGCUGGCGGCGUGCCUACUACAUGCAAGUCGCGCGAACAGACGAGGAGCUUGCUCCUCUGACGUUAGCGGCGGACGGGUGAGUAACACGUGGAUAACCUACCUAUAAGACUGGGAUAACUUCGGGAAACCGGAGCUAAUACCGGAUAAUAUAUUGAACCGCAUGGUUCAAUAGUGAAAGACGGUUUUGCUGUCACUUAUAGAUGGAUCCGCGCCGCAUUAGCUAGUUGGUAAGGUAACGGCUUACCAAGGCAACGAUGCGUAGCCGACCUGAGAGGGUGAUCGGCCACACUGGAACUGAGACACGGUCCAGACUCCUACGGGAGGCAGCAGUAGGGAAUCUUCCGCAAUGGGCGAAAGCUUGACGGAGCAACGCCGCGUGAGUGAUGAAGGUCUUCGGAUCGUAAAACUCUGUUAUUAGGGAAGAACAAAUGUGUAAGUAACUAUGCACGUCUUGACGGUACCUAAUCAGAAAGCCACGGCUAACUACGUG
Molecule: ribosomal RNA, 495 nt
Filed under: uncultured bacterium
Lineage: Bacteria
Description: partial 16S ribosomal RNA
Rfam family: Bacterial small subunit ribosomal RNA
Source: RNAcentral